AGAGUUUGAUCCUGGCUCAGGACGAACGCUAGCGGGAGGCCUAACACAUGCAAGUCGAACGGGAUUGAGAGCUUGCUCUCAUGAGAGUGGCGCACGGGUGAGUAACGCGUAUGCAACCUACCUUUAACUGAGGGAUAGCCCAUAGAAAUGUGGAUUAAUACCUCAUAGUUCUAUUAGAUCGCAUGAUUUGAUAGAUAAAGCUCCGGCGGUUAAAGAUGGGCAUGCGUGACAUUAGUUUGUUGGUGAGGUAACGGCUCACCAAGACUACGAUGUCUAGGGGUUCUGAGAGGAUGAUCCCCCACACUGGUACUGAGACACGGACCAGACUCCUACGGGAGGCAGCAGUGAGGAAUAUUGGUCAAUGGGCGCAAGCCUGAACCAGCCAUCCCGCGUGCAGGAUGAAGGCCCUAUGGGUCG
Molecule: ribosomal RNA, 417 nt
Filed under: uncultured bacterium
Lineage: Bacteria
Description: bacterial SSU rRNA
Rfam family: Bacterial small subunit ribosomal RNA
Source: RNAcentral